This 468-nucleotide ribosomal RNA is filed under the name uncultured bacterium. Its description in RNAcentral is "partial 16S ribosomal RNA". It matches the Rfam family "Bacterial small subunit ribosomal RNA", at positions 28 to 507 of the family's 1533-position model. The record is from RNAcentral.
GACGAACGCUGGCGGCGUGCUUAACACAUGCAAGUCGAACGGAAAGGCCCUGCUUUUGUGGGGUGCUCGAGUGGCGAACGGGUGAGUAACACGUGAGUAACCUGCCCUUGACUUUGGGAUAACUUCAGGAAACUGGGGCUAAUACCGGAUAGGAGCUCCUGCUGCAUGGUGGGGGUUGGAAAGUUUCGGCGGUUGGGGAUGGACUCGCGGCUUAUCAGCUUGUUGGUGGGGUAGUGGCUUACCAAGGCUUUGACGGGUAGCCGGCCUGAGAGGGUGACCGGCCACAUUGGGACUGAGAUACGGCCCAGACUUCUACGGGAGGCAGCAGUGGGGAAUAUUGCACAAUGGGCGGAAGCCUGAUGCAGCAACGCCGCGUGCGGGAUGACGGCCUUCGGGUUGCAAACCGCUUUCGCCUGUGACGAAGCGUGAGUGACGGUAAUGGGUAAAGAAGCACCGGCUAACUACGUG